AAGAUGACUCAAGUGUGUCCUUUGGAAUAGCAAUAAGCAGUCAAAAUAAGCAAACAAAUGAUAUCGGAUGCCACUCAAUGGCCUUACUCCAAUCUCACAAACAAAAGCGGAUACCGGAUACCAAUAGAUGGAUUUACACCAAUCUCCUAAACAAAGAAACCAGGAUGUCGGAAGCCAAUAGAUGGACUUACUCCAAUCUCCUAAAACAAAACGAAACUUGGAUACCGGAUGCCAAU
RNAcentral lists this long non-coding RNA (236 nucleotides) under Lathyrus oleraceus (garden pea). RNAcentral's name for it is "Pisum sativum (pea) long non-coding RNA (PSAT_LNC037553)". Lineage: Eukaryota; Viridiplantae; Streptophyta; Magnoliopsida; Fabales; Fabaceae. The record is from RNAcentral.